Molecule: ribosomal RNA, 830 nt
Filed under: Lactiplantibacillus plantarum
Lineage: Bacteria; Bacillati; Bacillota; Bacilli; Lactobacillales; Lactobacillaceae
Description: bacterial SSU rRNA
Rfam family: Bacterial small subunit ribosomal RNA
Source: RNAcentral
GCAGUCGACGAACUCUGGUAUUGAUUGGUGCUUGCAUCAUGAUUUACAUUUGAGUGAGUGGCGAACUGGUGAGUAACACGUGGGAAACCUGCCCAGAAGCGGGGGAUAACACCUGGAAACAGAUGCUAAUACCGCAUAACAACUUGGACCGCAUGGUCCGAGUUUGAAAGAUGGCUUCGGCUAUCACUUUUGGAUGGUCCCGCGGCGUAUUAGCUAGAUGGUGGGGUAACGGCUCACCAUGGCAAUGAUACGUAGCCGACCUGAGAGGGUAAUCGGCCACAUUGGGACUGAGACACGGCCCAAACUCCUACGGGAGGCAGCAGUAGGGAAUCUUCCACAAUGGACGAAAGUCUGAUGGAGCAACGCCGCGUGAGUGAAGAAGGGUUUCGGCUCGUAAAACUCUGUUGUUAAAGAAGAACAUAUCUGAGAGUAACUGUUCAGGUAUUGACGGUAUUUAACCAGAAAGCCACGGCUAACUACGUGCCAGCAGCCGCGGUAAUACGUAGGUGGCAAGCGUUGUCCGGAUUUAUUGGGCGUAAAGCGAGCGCAGGCGGUUUUUUAAGUCUGAUGUGAAAGCCUUCGGCUCAACCGAAGAAGUGCAUCGGAAACUGGGAAACUUGAGUGCAGAAGAGGACAGUGGAACUCCAUGUGUAGCGGUGAAAUGCGUAGAUAUAUGGAAGAACACCAGUGGCGAAAGGCGGCUGUCUGGUCUGUAACUGACGCUGAGGCUCGAAAGUAUGGGUAGCAAACAGGAUUAGAUACCCUGGGUAGUCCAUACCGUAAACGAUGAAUGCUAAGUGUUGGAGGGUUUCCGCCUUCAGUGCUGCAGC